Molecule: ribosomal RNA, 467 nt
Filed under: uncultured bacterium
Lineage: Bacteria
Description: partial 16S ribosomal RNA
Rfam family: Bacterial small subunit ribosomal RNA
Source: RNAcentral
CCUCCCUCUUUCUUCGUGCUUCACACCUGCAAGUCGAACGGAAAGGCCCUGCUUUUGUGGGGUGCUCGAGUGGCGAACGGGUGAGUAACACGUGAGUAACCUGCCCUUGACUUUGGGAUAACUUCAGGAAACUGGGGCUAAUACCGGAUAGGAGCUCCUGCUGCAUGGUGGGGGUUGGAAAGUUUCGGCGGUUGGGGAUGGACUCGCGGCUUAUCAGCUUGUUGGUGGGGUAGUGGCUUACCAAGGCUUUGACGGGUAGCCGGCCUGAGAGGGUGACCGGCCACAUUGGGACUGAGAUACGGCCCAGACUCCUACGGGAGGCAGCGGUGGGGAAUAUUGCACAAUGGGCGGAAGCCUGAUGCAGCAACGCCGCGUGCGGGAUGACGGCCUUCGGGUUGUAAACCGCUUUCGCCUGUGACGAAGCGUGAGUGACGGUAAUGGGUAAAGAAGCACCGGCUAACUACGUG